GCUUGCACGCAUUCUUGUUCCCGCGUCUCUUCAGCUCUCAUCUUCUCUCUCUCCAACUGUGUCCAUCUUUUUCCAAGUUCCAGGCCUCUCUCCAUUUGCGGGAAAGCAGCAAUGCAACCCUACAAAAGGUAGCUUCUGAAGGUUUUUUGUAUCCAUGCGGGGUGCGGCCUUCUUUCACUACGAUUUUUCUUACCGGACGGUCUACCUUCAUCCUAUGUUGUUUAUAGAUACACUUCAAGGUUUUCAACUUUCAUCUCACCCCAUCUUGUAUCAACAGUGACCCUACCAGCUCUACAUGGAAUAGGACAGGUAUGGUUAAACCCAAUUUGGGUUAAACAGAACCAUUCUGAACCUGUCUCAUUGGCAUACUUAUGCAUUCAGGUAUGCUUCUGCUCAUGGUACUCAUGAUAACAUUGGGAACUUUUGAUACGAAGAAAUAGGGAUUUUGGUUUGGAAAUAGGCAGGGGAUAAUGGACUAUUAGGUGGCCCACAAAGAGUUGAGGCCUAGUCCAUUGAGAGCCCCACCCAGGUUGAAAACUCGUGAAAUUGUUCAUUUUUUAUAAAUAACAAGGUAUUUUAUUGAUUUCCAUGAGAAAACCCAAAAACUGUUCAUGCUAGACAGUAGGGCCAAUACAAUUCAGGCACAAGCUUAGAAAAUAAACAACAUAAAAAUUAUGAUAGGAAAUUACAACAGAGCCCCAGGACCGGGCAUUUCCCCAAUACACCCUUGAUUUGUUACACCAGAUCUUGCGAAACUGUCACCUGUCAGCUAGGAAAACAUAACAUUGUUCAGUUUUGAAGUCUGAAAACUCAACCUUCUUGAUAAAAUAGCAGACCCAUCCUGCAAAACAGAACCUAGAUGGGUAUAGAGCUGUUACUAAACAAAAGUGUUUCUUCUUGCACAUGCCUUAGCUGAGUUAUUGGUAACAGCAUUAGUCUUAGGAAUCCAAACAUGAAUAUUGGAAAGGAUUUUAGAUAUCUCAAUCAAGUAGACUAUUAACCUACCUGAAUUAGAACCAGCUCUCCUAGCUCACAGUAUAGCAUUUGCUGAAUUCUGAUGAUGCAACAAAGACUGCAGCUGCAUUGUUUUAGCUAUCUUUGAUCUUGUACAGGAUAUACCUAGAUCCAAUUUUAUUUUUUUGAAAAAUAAAGAGAAAAUUCAUUAAAAUAAAAAGAAAUACAUAGGAAGGUUAACUCCUCCAGUACCAACACCUAGACCCAAGACAAAAGGACAAACUGAAAACCAGAAAAAGGUACAAACAGAAGAGAUAAUCUAAUAUUCUCUAUUAACUCCUUUUGAUUGUCGCCAUAUUCAUUCCAUUUCCCUCUUCCAGUUAACCCCUUUUUCGAGCUUUCUUCUCUCUUCUUCCUCUCAAACUCUUCACAAGCUUAGUUGGAUCAUAUUUACAUUUAAAUUUAGAUAAAUGGAUACCAUUUGCAGUACUAAUCCUGUAAGCAGGUUAAGCUUUGUAUGGAUGCACAUCUCUGGUUAUUCCACUAAAGUUCUAGACAGUAGAUAUUUCUGCUUGUCCUUUGUUUACAGGAGCUCCAAGUCAGAAUUCUAUGAGACGUGUCCAUCUACCUGUUAGAUGGAAAAUCCCCUUGCAUUAUUUGAUAACAUAUGUUAUUAUGUUUGUGUUUGUAUUUAGUAAAACUUGCUUUAUUAAAGAAUUUCCAAUUUAUCUCCUCGUUAUUUCUUUUUAAUUUGUUACAUUUCUUAGUUACUCUUUUUGGCAUUUUUCCUUGUUGCAUAGAAGGUUUAAGCUCACUACAGGUAUUCACAUGCAUAGCAGCUGUUUGCUAUUAUUCACUUCACUAAGUUGACACAUCUGCACUCUGCAGUAGUCUGUCCCCCCUAAAAUCUUAAGCUUCAUAUGGUUUUGGAUUUACAGAGCCACCAUGAAAUUGUAGUUUUAAAUUUCUUUAUAGUUAGGCUAAAUAAUGGAAGAAGUUUUGAAAUAUGAAUAUAUGAUUUGGGUUGCAAGGGGCAAGUAGGAGAAUCAUGUCUCUUAAUAUAGUAGUAUGUUGUAUAUGGUGUUUAAUCUACUAACAACUUAUUACUUGUUACAUAUAGGGGUCAUUUCUUGGCAUAAUGGUAAAAUCUCAUGAUGACAAAAUAUCAGGCAUGGGACAUUUCAUGGUUUUCAUAUUGAAACUAGAGGUGGCACCCGUUUUAGCUAUCUUUCUGGUAGCAGCAGUUAAGUGGCACUGUUGUCUAAGUGGUGGCUUUCAAUAGGCCUCCGCCUAUCUGAACUGAGGAGUCUGUCAGUUUGCUGGGAGCUUGUCAGUUUGCUGGGAAACAGACAUGGAGUCUUUCAGAUAGGAAAUUGUGGCCAAUAACAUGGGAAACAGACAAAACAGCAUGGUUUUUGUUAACCAAAGUGCCUGUCAGUUUGCUGGGAGCCAGCCAGUACCAUGUAAUCUAACUUUAACCUGCAUUUCCUUGAACCCAGUAUGCAAUGACAUUGGUCUUUGCCUCGCAUGGUAAAAGAACAAUACAUGAAUUAUGGGUCAGAUAAAUUACAACAUAGAACCAAAUCAGUAUAGAAUUUCAGCUCUUUGGUUAUUCCUUCAUUAAGCUCCUGACAUGAAAUGAUAAGCCCAAAUAGACCCACCCAUUCCAGAAUCCACCAGUCUAGUUACUUUCAUUUUGAAACCAUCUAUCACUCUCCCUCUCCAAAUAUGAAGUUGGUAUGCUAACCCCAUGCUCCCUCAACUUGUCACUUGUCACCACCACCGACCAAGGAUGUGGACAAUGAAAGAAUAAAAACAUAAAGCUAAAAACUGCUGGGAGAAAGUUCGAAGGAUGUUGACAAUGGUAGUUACAUUAGCUAAAUUUAAGCUUAACUAGUCAAUUGGCGUCACCUAUUGGCAUCAUAACAAUGACGAACGAGAGCACACCCACCCCAGUUAUCCACUUAGUCUACCCCAAGUCAGCCCGCACAGAUGUAGAUGGUCUUGACACAUGCAAAAGAAGGCCUGGCAGUUGAUUGACAAGGAUAACACACUUGGUUAGGUGAACCUAUCUACAAGAUGUUAAGACUUAGAGUCUCAGACCACUUGUUCACAUUACCCUAUUGCAAAAUAUUUGCAGAAGCCAGACCUAAGCUUACUCUUUAAAUGCAACUACUAGAAAAUUAAGUGCACUAGGACAAAUUAACCUCACUUAGGAGUCUCAGCAGCUGCAAACAUGCCUCCACCUCCCAAUUGUUCAGGUUGCACCUGAACUAAGGACACCAGGAGAUGCUUGCCUCUGAAAAUCAAAACAAUCUCAAGCAAUAACACCCCUAUUGGCCAAAUGAGUCAAACUUUUGGCUUAACUCUGUUGAUCUUGCACUAUACUGUGUGCUUACCUGUUAAAGUAGUGAAUGGAAAAGAAUAACCUUCCCCUUACCUGUUAAAGAGAUGAAAAUUCUUGGAUCCUUUGCAGAAGGGUUCAGAUUUGAUAUUUAUCAGCCUGAUUUAGAAUCACCUUCCCCUUACCUAACCCAAAAUUCUAUGCUAUAUAAUUCUGAUACUUCUGUGUUAAUAUUAAAAUGCUCUUUCAUGGUUUUGAUAUUGAUGUUUAAAAAAAACCUUGUUCUCUGAAUCAGCAAAGAUCAUGAACCAAUCUGUUGCACUGCCAUUGAAACUGGAUAUAAAUGUCUAUGUUUCUUUAUCAGUUUGAUAAUUUUCCAAUGGUCAUGUAGUGUAAAUUUUGCAUGAGGAAGAACAAUCAUUUUAUGGAUAAUUGCCAGCCUUCUCUCUUGCUUCUUCACACACUUCCACUCCCGAAUUGCAUUUUUCUGCUUCUUUUUGGUAAUAAGAAGAUGACUUGUUUGCCUCUAGUAUCAUUACCCUAUGUAUUCAUUGUUGUUGAAAUUGACAGAUCGAAGUUUAUGAUCCAAAGUGAAAGUCUUGAGUAUGAUGCACUUGUAUAUAAUCAACUGUUCAGAUGCAAUGAGGAUAAUUUUGUUAAUUCUUGUCUUUUUUUGUGAUGGAAAAAAAAUUAUUAAAAGUGUGUAUUGAACAAAGACAACUAUGAAAAUUUUGUGUAAAUUUGUAUAGUUUUA
This is a non-coding RNA of Nelumbo nucifera (sacred lotus), 4052 nucleotides long. Lineage: Eukaryota; Viridiplantae; Streptophyta; Magnoliopsida; Proteales; Nelumbonaceae. The record is from RefSeq and is a predicted model, not a curated record.